UACACUCCUGCGGGAGGCAGCAGUGGGGAAUUUUGGACAAUGGGCGAAAGCCUGAUCCAGCAAUGCCGCGUGAGUGAAGAAGGCCUUCGGGUUGUAAAGCUCUUUUGUCAGGGAAGAAACGGUGAGAGCUAAUAUCUCUUGCUAAUGACGGUACCUGAAGAAUAAGCACCGGCUAACUACGUGCCAGCAGCCGCGGUAAUACGUAGGGUGCAAGCGUUAAUCGGAAUUACUGGGCGUAAAGCGUGCGCAGGCGGUUUUGUAAGUCUGAUGUGAAAUCCCCGGGCUCAACCUGGGAAUUGCAUUGGAGACUGCAAGGCUAGAAUCUGGCAGAGGGGGGUAGAAUUCCACGUGUAGCAGUGAAAUGCGUAGAUAUGUGGAGGAACACCGAUGGCGAAGGCAGCCCCCUGGGUCAAGAUUGACGCUCAUGCACGAAAGCGUGGGGAGCAAACAGGAUUAGAUACCCCGGUAGUCCC
RNAcentral lists this ribosomal RNA (473 nucleotides) under uncultured organism. RNAcentral's name for it is "partial 16S ribosomal RNA". It matches the Rfam family "Bacterial small subunit ribosomal RNA", at positions 332 to 797 of the family's 1533-position model. The record is from RNAcentral.